GCACAAGCGGUGGAGCAUGUGGUUAAUUCGACGCAACGCGAAGAACCUUACCAGGGCUUGACAUCCCCUGACCGCGUAUGAAAGUACGUUUUCACCCUCGGGUGACAGGGAGACAGGUGGUGCAUGGUUGUCGUCAGCUCGUGUCGUGAGAUGUUGGGUUAAGUCCCGCAACGAGCGCAACCCCUACGUUUAGUUGCUAACAGGUGAAGCUGAGCACUCUAGACGAACUGCCGUUGACAAAACGGAGGAAGGUGGGAUGACGUCAAAUCAUCAUGCCCCUUAUGUUCUGGGCUACACACGUGCUACAAUGGCCGGUACAGACGGAGGCGAAGCCGCGAGGCGGAGCAAAUCCGAAAAAGCCGGUCUCAGUUCGGAUUGCAGGCUGCAAUUCGCCUGCAUGAAGUCGGAAUCGCUAGUAAUCGCGGAUCAGCAUGCCGCGGUCGAAUACGUUCCCGGGCCUU
RNAcentral lists this ribosomal RNA (461 nucleotides) under uncultured Pelotomaculum sp. RNAcentral describes it as "bacterial SSU rRNA". It matches the Rfam family "Bacterial small subunit ribosomal RNA", at positions 923 to 1382 of the family's 1533-position model. The record is from RNAcentral. Lineage: Bacteria; Bacillati; Bacillota; Clostridia; Eubacteriales; Desulfotomaculaceae.